Non-coding RNA from Acanthosepion pharaonis, 97 nucleotides. Lineage: Eukaryota; Metazoa; Mollusca; Cephalopoda; Sepiida; Sepiidae. The record is from the annotation of a GenBank genome assembly.
AUGGCCACAUCACGUUGGAACACUGGUUCCCAUAUGAUCACCAAAGUUAAGCAACAUUGAGCCUGGUAAGUACCUAGAAUGGUGACAGCUUGGGAAU